AUACUUACCUGGCAGGGGAGAUACCAUGAUCAUGAAGGUGGUUUUCCCAGGACAAGGCUUAUUCAUUGCACCCCGGAUGUGCUGACCCCUGCGAUUUUUCCCAAAUGCGGGAAACUUGACUGCAUAAUUUGUGGUAGUGGGGGACUGUGUUCACGCUCUCCCUUG
Molecule: small nuclear RNA, 165 nt
Filed under: Carlito syrichta (Philippine tarsier)
Lineage: Eukaryota; Metazoa; Chordata; Mammalia; Primates; Tarsiidae
Description: U1 spliceosomal RNA (ENSTSYG00000031313.1)
Rfam family: U1 spliceosomal RNA
About the family: U1 is a small nuclear RNA (snRNA) component of the spliceosome (involved in pre-mRNA splicing).
Source: Rfam by way of RNAcentral